This 551-nucleotide ribosomal RNA is filed under the name fungal sp. 57510. Its description in RNAcentral is "eukaryotic LSU rRNA". The stretch from base 189 to 342 matches the Rfam family "5.8S ribosomal RNA". Lineage: Eukaryota; Fungi. The record is from RNAcentral.
GGUUUCCGUAGGUGAACCUGCGGAAGGAUCAUUACGUAUUAGGGCUGCCCUUCGGCGCUCUUUACACACCCACCCUUUGCCUAUGUGUACCUUUCAUAGCUUCCUCGGCGGGCUCGCCCGCCGCCAGGAACCCACGAAACCCCUUGCAUCCUACAUGAAAACUUCCGAUUACAAACCUAAAUUAUCACAACUUUCAACAAUGGAUCUCUUGGUUCUGGCAUCGAUGAAGAACGCAGCGAAAUGCGAUAAGUAGUGUGAAUUGCAGAAUUCAGUGAAUCAUCGAAUCUUUGAACGCACAUUGCGGCCAUAGGUAUUCCUUUGGCCAUGCCUGUUCGAGCGUCAUUUACACCCUCAAGCCUAGCUUGGUGUUGGGCGUCUUGUCCCGCCGUCUUCUCGCGCGCGGACUCGCCUCAAAGUCAUUGGCGGCGGUCGUGCCGGCCCCUCGCGCAGCACAUUUGCGCUUCUCGGAGGCCUGGCGGAUCCGCGCUCCAGCAAGACCUUUUCAUGACUUGACCUCGGAUCAGGUAGGGAUACCCGCUGAACUUAAGCAU